RNAcentral lists this ribosomal RNA (496 nucleotides) under uncultured bacterium. RNAcentral describes it as "partial 16S ribosomal RNA". It matches the Rfam family "Bacterial small subunit ribosomal RNA", at positions 28 to 506 of the family's 1533-position model. The record is from RNAcentral.
GAUGAACGCUGGCGGCGUGCCUAAUACAUGCAAGUCGAGCGAACGGACGAGAAGCUUGCUUCUCUGAUGUUAGCGGCGGACGGGUGAGUAACACGUGGAUAACCUACCUAUAAGACUGGGAUAACUUCGGGAAACCGGAGCUAAUACCGGAUAAUAUUUUGAACCGCAUGAUUCAAAAGUGAAAGACGGUCUUGCUGUCACUUAUAGAUGGAUCCGCGCUGCAUUAGCUAGUUGGUAAGGUAACGGCUUACCAAGGCAACGAUGCAUAGCCGACCUGAGAGGGUGAUCGGCCACACUGGAACUGAGACACGGUCCAGACUCCUACGGGAGGCAGCAGUAGGGAAUCGUCCGCAAUGGGCGAAAGCCUGACGGAGCAACGCCGCGUGAGUGAUGAAGGUCUUCGGAUCGUAAAACUCUGUUAUUAGGGAAGAACAUAUGUGUAAGUAACUGUGCACAUCUUGACGGUACCUAAUCAGAAAGCCACGGCUAACUACGU